Molecule: long non-coding RNA, 127 nt
Organism: Thalassophryne amazonica
Lineage: Eukaryota; Metazoa; Chordata; Actinopteri; Batrachoidiformes; Batrachoididae
Exons: 3
Source: RefSeq, a predicted model, not a curated record
AUGGGGAUCUGGCAUAGCAGCAUGAAGUGUUUGUGGCAGAGGGGUCCAAGAGGAAUUGUAAACAAUGCAGUAUUCCAUUUGUUGAUUUCCAUCUGAAAUGUGUAAGACUGCUUCUUGGCAGUUCAUC